This 253-nucleotide ribosomal RNA is filed under the name uncultured bacterium. RNAcentral's name for it is "partial 16S ribosomal RNA". It matches the Rfam family "Bacterial small subunit ribosomal RNA", at positions 524 to 776 of the family's 1533-position model. The record is from RNAcentral.
UACGUAGGGGGCUAGCGUUGUCCGGAAUCAUUGGGCGUAAAGAGCUCGUAGGCGGCCACUCAAGUCGAAUGUGAAACCUCGAGGCUUAACCUCGAGCCUGCAUUCGAUACUGGGCGGCUAGAGUCUGGUAGGGGGAUCUGGAAUUCCUGGUGUAGCGGUGGAAUGCGCAGAUAUCAGGAGGAACACCAGUGGCGAAGGCGGCUUUCUGGCCUGUUCUUGACGCUGAGGCGCGAAAGCCAGGGGAGCAAACGGG